This is a ribosomal RNA of 173 nucleotides. It matches the Rfam family "Bacterial small subunit ribosomal RNA", at positions 1 to 168 of the family's 1533-position model.
UUUAUGGAGAGUUUGAUCCUGGCUCAGGAUGAACGCUGGCGGCGUGCCUAAUACAUGCAAGUCGAGCGAACGUCAAAGGAGCUUGCUCCUUUGACGUUAGCGGCGGACGGGUGAGUAACACGUGGGUAACCUACCUAUAAGACUGGGAUAACUUCGGGAAACCGGAGCUAAUA